Molecule: long non-coding RNA, 497 nt
Organism: Astyanax mexicanus (Mexican tetra)
Lineage: Eukaryota; Metazoa; Chordata; Actinopteri; Characiformes; Acestrorhamphidae
Exons: 3
Source: RefSeq, a predicted model, not a curated record
GUUAUGGUAUCCUGGGUGGUUGCUAAGGUGUUGCUAGGUGGUUGCUAGGCGGUUGCUAAGGUGUUGUUAUGGUAUCCGGGGUGGUUGCUAAAAUGUUGCUAGGUGGUUGCUAAGGUGUUGCUAUGGUAUCCGGGGUGGUUGCUAAGGUGUUGCUAGGUGGUUGCUAAGGUGUUGCUAGGUGGUUGCUAAGGUGUUGCUAUGGUAUCUGGGGUGGUUGCUAAGGUGUUGCUAGGUGGUUGCUAAGGUGUUGCUAGAUGGUUGCUAAGGUGUUGCUAUGGUAUCCAGGGUGGUUGCCAAGGUGUUGCUAGGUGGUUGCUAGGGUGUUGCUAGGCGGUUGCUAAGCGGUUGCUAUGGUAUCCGGGGUGGUUGCUAAGGUGUUGCUAGGUGUUGCUAGGUGGUUGCUAAGGUGUUGCUAGGUGGUUGCUAAGGUGUUGCUAGAUGGUUGCUAAGGUGUUGCUAUGGUAUCCAGGGUGGUUGCCAAGGUGUUGCUAGGUGGU